ACGUAUCUCCGAUGGGGUGUGGUGCGCCCCGCUCCGGCCUGACCGGCCGUGCAGCGGGUGUGCCGCCCCUGUCCACACAUCACAAACCCACUGUGAACCUUCACGGCGGAGGGGUUCGGCCCAGUGCCGUGUCCCCGAAGCCGCAUUACCAAACUCCAGUUGCAAAGAAUGUCGUGCGGACGUUGUGCCGCCUAAAAACACAUAA
This 205-nucleotide unclassified non-coding RNA is filed under the name uncultured Trechisporales. Its description in RNAcentral is "sequence contains ITS1". Lineage: Eukaryota; Fungi; Basidiomycota; Agaricomycetes; Trechisporales. The record is from RNAcentral.